CUGAGAAAAGGCCUCAACUCCCUUGUGGCUCUCACCGCUUGGAGCAUCUGGAAGCAUCGCAAUGCCGCUCUCUUCGACGACCUCCGACCAUGUACCGACGCCCUUAUUCACACCAUCAAGGAGGAGGCCCGGCUUUGGUCCAGAGCCGGCGCCCUAGGCUUAGCAUCUAUUAUCCCUAUAACCUAG
Molecule: ribosomal RNA, 186 nt
Filed under: Triticum aestivum (bread wheat)
Lineage: Eukaryota; Viridiplantae; Streptophyta; Magnoliopsida; Poales; Poaceae
Description: partial small subunit ribosomal RNA
Source: RNAcentral